AUUCUAGAKVUAAUACAUGCAACUCAGUUCCGACCGGCGACGGGAGGAACGCUUUUAUUARAUCAAAMCCAAUCGGSGGGCCCGCCCGCCGUUCGAUUUUGGUGACUCUGGAUAAAGACCGGYUGAUCGCACGGKCCUCGCACCGGSGACGCACCCUUCAAAUGUCUGCCUUAUCAACUGACGAUGGUAGGUUUUGCGCCUACCAUGGUUGUAACGGGUGACGGGGAAUCAGGGUUCGAUUCCGGAGAGGGAGCCUGAGAAACGGUUACCACAUCCAAGGAAGGCAGCAG
Molecule: ribosomal RNA, 290 nt
Filed under: Aphonomorphus sp. MCJ-2002
Lineage: Eukaryota; Metazoa; Arthropoda; Insecta; Orthoptera; Gryllidae
Description: partial 18S ribosomal RNA
Rfam family: Eukaryotic small subunit ribosomal RNA
Source: RNAcentral